Ictalurus punctatus (channel catfish) is the source of this 343-nucleotide long non-coding RNA. The record is from Ensembl. Lineage: Eukaryota; Metazoa; Chordata; Actinopteri; Siluriformes; Ictaluridae.
AUUCAGCCAUACCCCAAUAUCCAAGUGAAUAGUGGCAAAGUUGUAAAAUGCGAGGACACAGUAAUCGCACUGCAGUGUUGUGUUCAGGGGAGUUAUGAAGUGAAAUGGACUGACCCUGUAGCUUGCAACUCAACUUCAACAGUCCCACUGAAAGGCUGCACAUUAUGUGAAUAUAAAAUUAACAAGCAGGACUGCCAGUCUACUGACCAAGUUAUACUGGUCACAUGUCAACUCACAUCACCUAUCAGUGGAAGUACAACUCAAAGUUACAAUUCAAAGAGCAUCAAAAUAGAUGUCAUAAAAGGGGAACGAAAGACCUACUAUCAGAAGCAGCAGAUCGCCA